GAUCAUGGCUCAGGACGAACGCUGGCGGCGUGCCUAACACAUGCAAGUCGAGCGGAGACAGGGAGUAGCUUGCUACGAACUGUUUUAGCGGCGGACGGGUGAGUAACGCGUGAGCAACCUUUCCCAGACAGGGGAAUAACACACCGAAAGGUGUACUAAUACCGCAUAAGACCACGGGAUCACAUGGUUCUGGGGUAAAAGAAUUAUCGGUUUGGGGUGGGCUCGCGUCCGAUUAGGUAGUUGGUGAGGUAACGGCCCACCAAG
This 264-nucleotide ribosomal RNA is filed under the name uncultured bacterium. Its description in RNAcentral is "partial 16S ribosomal RNA". It matches the Rfam family "Bacterial small subunit ribosomal RNA", at positions 15 to 272 of the family's 1533-position model. The record is from RNAcentral.